RNAcentral lists this ribosomal RNA (504 nucleotides) under Aphidecta obliterata. RNAcentral's name for it is "partial large subunit ribosomal RNA". The stretch from base 378 to 504 matches the Rfam family "Bacterial large subunit ribosomal RNA", at positions 2473 to 2600 of the family's 2925-position model. The record is from RNAcentral. Lineage: Eukaryota; Metazoa; Arthropoda; Insecta; Coleoptera; Coccinellidae.
UUUGAUUAUAAUUUAAAGUAGGGCCUGCCCACUGAGGAAUUGAAGGGCCGCAGUAUCUUGACUGUGCAAAGGUAGCAUAAUCAUUAGUUUUUUAAUUGAAAGCUUGUAUGAAUGGUUUGAUGAGAAAAUUACUUUCUAUGUUUAAUUUUAUAAAAACUUUAUUUUUAAGUUAAAAAGCUUAAAUAUUUAUAAUAGACGAGAAGACCCUAUAGAGUUUAAUUUUUAUAAAAAUUUUAAUUUUUAGAAUUUUAUAAUUUUAGUUUUGUUAAAAAUUUGGUUGGGGUGACUGGAAAAUUAAAUUAACUUUUUUUUUAUUAAUACAUUGAUUUAUGAAUUUAUGAUCCAUAUUAAUGAUUAAAAGAAUAAAUUACCUUAGGGAUAACAGCGUUAUUUUUUUUUAGAGUUCUAAUCGAAAAAAAAGAUUGCGACCUCGAUGUUGGAUUAAAAUUAAUAUUAGGUGAAGAAGCUUAAUUAUUUGGUCUGUUCGACCAUUAAAAUUUUACA